RNAcentral lists this long non-coding RNA (508 nucleotides) under Elaeis guineensis (African oil palm). RNAcentral's name for it is "long non-coding RNA (EGUI_LNC001032)". Lineage: Eukaryota; Viridiplantae; Streptophyta; Magnoliopsida; Arecales; Arecaceae. The record is from RNAcentral.
CGUGAGUGAUUUUUUAUUUACCGUGGUUGCAACCUAUUGCUCCUAUUCUUCCCACUUGAGAUUGAUCGUCGAGAUUGAUGUGGCCAAAAUGAAAUAGUUACUGGAGUUUCAUCCGAAUUCUACAAAGAGUUCUCACCAGUGUGUUCUUCAAUGAAGAUCCUCCGAUGCUCUAGUUAAGAGAUAGAGAAUGAUGAGAAGAGAGAGUGAGGAGUCGAUUGCAUACCUUGAGAAUCUCAUAGUUUUUAUUUAUAAAGAAGAAGUUGAAGUCGUACCAUCUUGGAGUCUUAAUAAUUUUUGGAUUUGUUGCACAGAUUGAUUCGGAUCAGAUAUUUUCUUUUUAUAGAAGACUCGAUCGUGGAGGAAUUUCAUUCUAUUUGGACUUUUUCAAUCUGAUAGAGAGACGGAUUUGGUAAGAAACUUAGCUCGACCAAGGACGAGCUAUAAUAGAUCAUCCGAGGCCGAGGUUCUGAAAUCCGAAGAGUAGGCAUUCGACCUCAAAUUGGCUGAG